AUGACCGGUAUAGGGAUUACUAAGGGGACUAAAGAAACAAGAACAACAACAACUAAUUCAUCCGCCAAUAUAUUCCCGAAAAGUCGAAAGCUAAGUAGUCCUGCAAGACAGGCAGAAGAUCAAAGUAAGAACAAGAAUAGCAAAGCUAAAUCCACUAAGAAUUUCCAAGCCGCCUGCUCAGCAGCCGACUCGGAACUCGGGGACUAA
This 207-nucleotide ribosomal RNA is filed under the name Triticum aestivum (bread wheat). RNAcentral describes it as "partial small subunit ribosomal RNA". The record is from RNAcentral. Lineage: Eukaryota; Viridiplantae; Streptophyta; Magnoliopsida; Poales; Poaceae.